Molecule: ribosomal RNA, 1500 nt
Filed under: uncultured bacterium
Lineage: Bacteria
Description: bacterial SSU rRNA
Rfam family: Bacterial small subunit ribosomal RNA
Source: RNAcentral
AGAGUUUGAUCCUGGCUCAGAUUGAACGCUGGCGGUAUGCUUAACACAUGCAAGUCGAACGGAAACGAUACUAGCUUGCUAGUAGGCGUCGAGUGGCGGACGGGUGAGUAACGCGUAGGAAUCUACCUGAUAGUGGGGGAUAGCCCGAAGAAAUUCGGAUUAAUACCGCAUAAUCUAUUCGUAGUAAAGUGGGGGACUUUCGAGCCUCACGCUAUCAGAUGAGCCUGCGUAAGAUUAGCUAGUUGGUAGGGUAAAAGCCUACCAAGGCAACGAUCUUUAGCUGGUCUGAGAGGAUGAUCAGCCACAUCGGGACUGAGACACGGCCCGAACUCCUACGGGAGGCAGCAGUGGGGAAUAUUGGACAAUGGGGGCAACCCUGAUCCAGCAAUACCGCGUGUGUGAAGAAGGCCUGAGGGUUGUAAAGCACUUUCAAUUGUGAAGAAAAGUUAACGGUUAAUAACCGUUAGCCUUGACGUUAACUUUAGAAGAAGCACCGGCUAACUCCGUGCCAGCAGCCGCGGUAAUACGGAGGGUGCAAGCGUUAAUCGGAAUUACUGGGCGUAAAGCGUGCGUAGGCGGUUUAUUAAGUCAGAUGUGAAAGCCCCGGGCUUAACCUGGGAACUGCAUUUGAAACUGGUCAACUAGAGUAUGGUAGAGGAAAGUGGAAUUUCUGGUGUAGCGGUGAAAUGCGUAGAUAUCAGAAGGAACAUCAAUGGCGAAGGCAGCUUUCUGGACCAAUACUGACGCUGAGGUACGAAAGCGUGGGUAGCAAACAGGAUUAGAUACCCUGGUAGUCCACGCCGUAAACGAUGAUAACUAGCCGUUGGGGGGAUUACCCUUUAGUGGCGAAGCUAACGCGUUAAGUUAUCCGCCUGGGGAGUACGGCCGCAAGGCUAAAACUCAAAGGAAUUGACGGGGACCCGCACAAGCGGUGGAGCAUGUGGUUUAAUUCGAUGCAACGCGAAGAACCUUACCUGGUCUUGACAUCCUGCGAACUUUCUAGAAAUAGAUUGGUGCCUUCGGGAACGCAGUGACAGGUGCUGCAUGGCUGUCGUCAGCUCGUGUCGUGAGAUGUUGGGUUAAGUCCCGUAACGAGCGCAACCCCUAUCCUUAUUUGCCAGCACGUCAUGGUGGGAACUAUAAGGAGACUGCCGGUGAUAAACCGGAGGAAGGCGGGGACGACGUCAAGUCAUCAUGGCCCUUACGACCAGGGCUACACACGUGCUACAAUGGGAAGGACAAAGAGCCGCGAAGCCGCGAGGUGUAGCUAAUCUCAGAAACCUUUUCGUAGUCCGGAUUGGAGUCUGCAACUCGACUCCAUGAAGUCGGAAUCGCUAGUAAUCGUAGAUCAGAAUGCUACGGUGAAUACGUUCCCGGGUCUUGUACACACCGCCCGUCAUACCAUGGGAGUGGGUUGCACCAGAAGUGGCUAGUCUAACUUAGUGAGGACGGUCACCACGGUGUGAUUCAUGACUGGGGUAAAGUCGUAACAAGGUAACC